CUCUGGACAGAACACUAUCCCUAGUUUACUUUUCCCUACGCACUCUCUCCACCGCAGCCUCUCCUCAGCCCUCGGCCCACUGCAUUUAUUACUGUAAUUUGAAAACACCUUAGAAUCGGCAAAUCGGAUUGGGUAUAGUCCGAUUCAACAUUAUUUCAGUCCGAUUCGAAGUAGCACGAACCGAUUCCGUCACGAUUAAGCGUGUUAAGACCUUGAACGAAAUAGUGUUCUUGAGAUAAGCAGCAAAAACGCCAUCGCGAGAGAGAGAGAGAGAGAGAGAGAGAGAGAGAGAGAGAGAGAGAGAAACUCUUCGGGAAGCACAUAUUUCCUCGGCAGAUCAUACUUGCUGCAUCUGCGCUUCUGUUCUUAGCAUCAACGACGUACGACGUUCAUAGAUCUAUAAAGAACAAUGAGACACCUCCUUCAAAGGAACAAAUGGAAGCCCUUGAAGAUUACAUCAGGUCUGUUCGUCGAUCUCCUUAGAUAAUGAUAUAUAGAUCUCCUUAAAUUUUAUUAUUCCAUGUAAAUUUCUAUUUUAAUAAGCUCUUCUUCUUCUGCUAAGGAGCAUAUAAAAUCCACUUUGUUUCAAAAUAAUUUAUAGAAUAAGAUGUUAAUGUGAUCUCUGUACAUAAGAAACAAUCUUUCAUAAAGAAAAAAAAAAAUGCCCUUGAGGUGUUUGUGAAUUUGAUUCUGAAAGGGGCCUAAAAUUUAAAUGAUUCAGGUCAGGUUUGGUUCUUAGCUGCUUCCUCUUGUGUACAAUUAAGAAUCAAGUUCUCCCUAUGAGAUUUCUUACAUGGCUACUCUGUGUCACACUGUUCAUCUGGUUUCUUAUCCUGAGUGACAACCUCUUUGAAGCUCUAAAACCCUGUGCCAGAUUCAUUCACACACCACAAUCAUCCCUGGAUUUCUAAAGCAAAAGCACCAGAAUCUAAUCUAAUCAAUGACAGUUGUUGACUUAAUACAAGAAAUUCUACAGAUUUCAUUUGUUUGAUGGAUGAACUGGAUUGGAAACAUUCCCCACAUAUGGCUACCGAAGAGGGGAUUGUCCACUGAAGCCAUAUGAAAGUUAGCUAGACAGUCUUCCAUUGGGAUUAGAAUAUUAGAAGUAUGGAUCAUAUUAUAAACUAAAGAUGCCCAGUUUAAUUAUAAUUACAAACUCACCCAUGUUAAGUGUGGAAUAGAAAAGUUCCAAGAGGAUAUAUCAGGAGUGCUUUAGAGGGGAAAGAUUCAUUAAGACAAGCUGACAGAAAGAACAACAGAGUUUGAAUCAGCAAGAUGACCAUGCCUAAAACUUCUGAUGGAAUCUCAUCAUUCUUUGGAACCAUUCACAUUUGUAGACCCUUAGGUGUCCUGCUCAUAUGUUAAGUUUCAGCACAAAUGGAGUUUGCCAAGCGGCAAAAUGGAGCUUUGAAAAAUCUUAGAAAUGGGAGAAUGUGUAGUAUGGUAAGCAUAUGGUACACUGUGGAAUUACAUGGGAUGCAUGCCAAUGCAGGGACAUUGGCAUAUAAAUUUGUAGACCUUCCCCUGUCUAUGCAGCAGUUCGAAAUUGACACAUAAUCCGAGACACAGCAGAAUUAGGGAUCCUAUGGAGAAAAGCUUCUUCAUGUGUCUUAAAAAUGCAGAAGUACUCACAAAAAGGGGGUAAAAAGCCUAAUACGAAUUAAAUCCAUCAAGGUGUCAAGCAUCUUAGAAGUAGUAACAAGUCAAAACCAAUUGUCAACAAUGUUUGUUCUAUCCAAAAAAUAAAAAAUAAAAUAAAAUAAAGAAAAGAAAAGAAAAGAAAAGAAAAGAAAAGAAAAGAGAAGAAAAGUGCAACCGUGAAGUAAUACAUUUUUAACAACCUUAAAUGUGGCAGGUUAAAAAUGGCAGGAGAUAGCCCUAUAAGGAGGUAGAAUUUUCAAAACUAGCAAUUGAAUGUAAGAGAAUAUUAGAGAGAAAAGUUGCAAAGUGCUAGAAAAAUAAGAACAAUGUUGGCUUGAGGAGCCAAAAACUCAAGAAUCUCAAUCAAAUGAUAUCGUGACUGUUACAAAUGCUUAUCCCAAAAGCUUGAGUUGUUGAGUAACGGUUAUAAUAAUGUAUAUCAAUACAACCCCAACACACGCGCAUGCGACUUGACUCAUGACAUUAUCACGUGGCACAACAUAUAACACAAACACCUUGCAUUUAUCAGAGAUUGAACACCUGGCCACCUAGCUUUGAUACCAUAUUACAAUCUUUUGUCCCAAAAGCUUGAGCUGUUAAGUGAGGGCCACAGUAAUGUACAUCAACACACAACAAGAAGAACCAAACCAAACUUUUCUAGAUACAAAUAUAGUGCCAAAACACUUGGACUUGGUGAGAUGAAAUGGUCUCCUCCCUCAAAAGCAAGGGAACAGUUAGGUGUGGAUUGAUUUUCUCCAAAGAAUUUCAAAUCUUGAAAUGAUAUUGUAGCUCGCAAGUGAGAACAACAUUCUAGUUAAUAAAUAAGAAGUCUCUGAUGGAGAGUGAAGGAGAUGUUUUUUUUUUAUUUUAAAUGAAGAUGUUUGCAGAUAUCUAAAAUGAUUUCACAAAUCUGAACAAGAUUGACCAGUUUUUGGUAGCUGUAGAUCAAGAAAAUUUUAAAAAAUAAUUUUGAAAAUUAAAACCAGGAAAAGAAUAAACAAAAAUAAGUGCCUCUGACCAGGGUUGAGGAAUUGGGAUCAAAUUGGCAGAAAUGGUCUACACUGUUCAUGAUUUUAGCCGAUUCAGAUCGGAAUUUUUAGGGCUAUUGGCUGAUUCUGGCCAAUUCUUGUCGAUAUGGAUUGCAAUUUCGAUCUCUUGAACCAUGCCGUUGGCACAAAACAGAUCAAUAAGAUUGUAGAAA
Macadamia integrifolia is the source of this 2842-nucleotide long non-coding RNA. RefSeq lists it as uncharacterized. NCBI's taxonomy places the organism in Eukaryota, Viridiplantae, Streptophyta, Magnoliopsida, Proteales, Proteaceae. The record is from RefSeq and is a predicted model, not a curated record. The transcript is spliced from 2 exons.